This 439-nucleotide ribosomal RNA is filed under the name Auriculastra subula. RNAcentral's name for it is "partial 16S ribosomal RNA". It matches the Rfam family "Bacterial large subunit ribosomal RNA", at positions 1817 to 2597 of the family's 2925-position model. Lineage: Eukaryota; Metazoa; Mollusca; Gastropoda; Ellobiida; Ellobiidae. The record is from RNAcentral.
AGCCCUGGGGAACAUCCAGGGUAAGCCCUGCCCGGUGAUAGUUUUAACGGCCGCAGUACCCUGACUGUGCUAAGGUAGCGUAAUCAGUUGACUUUUAAAUGGAGUCGAGAAUGAAUGGGUCUAUGGGGAAUCGCUGUCUCUGGUUUGUUUAUUUGAAUUUAGUUACGGGGUGAAAAUACCCCGAGGCAGAAAAAAGACGAGAAGACCCUUAGAGUCUUGAUUAUAUGGUUUAAGUUAUUUAUCAAGUGUUUUUGUUGGGGCGACAACGAGGCAAAGUUAAACCCUCGUGCUUAAAGAGUACAAGACGAUUAUUAUAAGCAAGAUAAGACUACCUUAGGGAUAACAGCAUAAUGUUUUUAAGCUUGUGACCUCGAUGUUGGACUAGGAACUUUAUGACUAGCCGUCAAAAGAGAGGGUUCUGUUCGAACCACUAUUUCCU